RNAcentral lists this ribosomal RNA (252 nucleotides) under uncultured Bacteroidales bacterium. RNAcentral's name for it is "partial 16S ribosomal RNA". It matches the Rfam family "Bacterial small subunit ribosomal RNA", at positions 524 to 776 of the family's 1533-position model. The record is from RNAcentral. Lineage: Bacteria; Pseudomonadati; Bacteroidota; Bacteroidia; Bacteroidales.
UACGGAGGAUGCGAGCGUUAUCCGGAUUUAUUGGGUUUAAAGGGUGCGUAGGCGGCGAGUUAAGUCAGCGGUAAAAGCCCGGGGCUCAACCCCGGCCCGCCGUUGAAACUGGCUGGCUUGAGUUGGGGAAAGGCAGGCGGAAUGCGCGGUGUAGCGGUGAAAUGCAUAGAUAUAACUUAGAACACCGAUAGCGAAGGCAGCUUACCAGACUGAGUCUGACGCUGAUGCACGAGAGCAUGGGUAGCGAACAGG